AGGGCACCACGCUGGUGGCGG
RNAcentral lists this unclassified non-coding RNA (21 nucleotides) under Chlamydomonas reinhardtii. RNAcentral describes it as "small RNA Cre_0570". Lineage: Eukaryota; Viridiplantae; Chlorophyta; Chlorophyceae; Chlamydomonadales; Chlamydomonadaceae. The record is from RNAcentral.